CAAGGUUGGCAAGUAUGCAGUAACUUAGUAAAACGUAUUUGUUUGAUCUAUUUAAAGAAAAAAAGAAAAUAAACGUUGUUAAUAUCCCUGUUUGAUUUUGAACGAAAAAGAAGAAAAAAAAAAGCCAAUAAAAUAAAUUAGUUGUUUCCGGAAGUACUGCCCCCGAGAUGCUGAUUGACAGGUGUAGAGUGACGCACCUGCUCGACUCGGCAAACGACGAGUAGAGACAAGAGACGUCACACAGAAACUGUUUAAAAUAAACUAAUAAAAGGUAUCCAAAGAUGAAUCCAAACGCUAACACCUACCGAUGAAGAGAGAACCCCCAAGAAAGGACGACAGAGAGAUUGGAAAACGUUGUUUCCCCUCCAUCGAAAUGUGCUGGUGUCUUGACGCAGUGUCUCAGGGAAGUCAACGGCAGCUUUAUGGACGGCGCAAGCUCAGCUGAUCUCCGCUGUCAAAGAGGCAGCUGCAACUUUCUUGCCUCCUCCAUGGCUUCACUCAGAGACACUGGCGGUCACCACACUCCUCCGACUUUCAGG
This is a long non-coding RNA of Nerophis ophidion (straightnose pipefish), 539 nucleotides long. RefSeq lists it as uncharacterized. The record is from RefSeq and is a predicted model, not a curated record. The transcript has 3 exons. Lineage: Eukaryota; Metazoa; Chordata; Actinopteri; Syngnathiformes; Syngnathidae.